UGGGGAAUAUUGGACAAUGGGCGAAAGCCUGAUCCAGCAACGCCGCGUGAGGGAUGACGGCCUUCGGGUUGUAAACCUCUUUCAGCAGGGGCGAAGCGCAAGUGACGGUACCUGCAGAAGAAGCACCGGCCAACUACGUGCCAGCAGCCGCGGUAAUACGUAGGGUGCGAGCGUUGUCCGGAAUUAUUGGGCGUAAAGGGCUCGUAGGCGGUUUGUCACGUCGGGAGUGAAAACUCGGGGCUUAACCCGAGCCUGCUUCCGAUACGGGCUGACUAGAGGUAUGCAGGGGAGAACGGAAUUCCUGGUGUAGCGGUGAAAUGCGCAGAUAUCAGGAGGAACACCGGUGGCGAAGGCGGUUCUCUGGGCAUUACCUGACGCUGAGGAGCGAAAGUGGUGGGAGCGAACAGGAUUAGAUACCCUGGUAGUCCACACCGUAAACGUUGGGACGCGUAGGUGUGGGA
This 461-nucleotide ribosomal RNA is filed under the name uncultured Actinomycetes bacterium. Its description in RNAcentral is "bacterial SSU rRNA". It matches the Rfam family "Bacterial small subunit ribosomal RNA", at positions 355 to 827 of the family's 1533-position model. The record is from RNAcentral. Lineage: Bacteria; Bacillati; Actinomycetota; Actinomycetes.